AGUAGGAGAGGUGGACAAUUUCGGCACGUCCACACACCUUAUGGGUCAAAAGAGAUGAGGGAGAAUGUGCCGCCCUCCUCCUAAA
This 85-nucleotide non-coding RNA is filed under the name unclassified sequences. RNAcentral describes it as "skipping-rope RNA". It matches the Rfam family "skipping-rope RNA". From Rfam's summary of the family: Firmicutes, Fusobacteria, AlphaProteobacteria, Spirochaetes. The record is from Rfam by way of RNAcentral.